Molecule: ribosomal RNA, 486 nt
Filed under: uncultured bacterium
Lineage: Bacteria
Description: partial 16S ribosomal RNA
Rfam family: Bacterial small subunit ribosomal RNA
Source: RNAcentral
AACGAACGCUGGCGGCGCGUCUUAACCAUGCAAGUCGAGCGGCAGGCAGCAAUGCCGAGAGCGGCGGACUGGUGAGUAACCCGUGGAUAACGUACCCCGAUGUCCGGGACAGCCUGUAGAAAUAGAGGGUAAUACCGGAUAGAUCACUGUUUACGUGAGGUAGACAGCGGGAAAGGAGCUUCGGCUCCGCGACGGGAUCGGUCUGCGGCCCAUCAGCUGGACGGCGGGGUAAAGGCCCGCCGUGGCGAGGACGGGUAUCCGGCCUGAGAGGGCGGACGGACACAUUGGGACUGAGACACGGACCAGACUCCUACGGGAGGCAGCAGGUAAGAAUAUUCCGCAAUGGGGGGAACCCUGACGGAGCGACGCCGCGUGAACGAAGAAGGCCGGAAGGUUGUAAAGUUCUUUUCUGUCCGAGGAAUAAGUUUCGGAGGAAAUGCCGGGACGGUGACGGUAGGGCAGGAAUAAGCACCGGCUAAUUACGUG